AUUUUUUUCCAUCCGGGGUUAAAAAUGUGUGCUUUUUGUUUGGUUGUUGAUAAAUUUGGUGAUUUUGACGCAUUUCGGAAUUUUUGGCUGGUUGGAUUUUGAUGUGAUCCGAAGCAAUUUUUCUAUAUUGCAGUGAUUGAUAGAGUGUUGAUGAUAAAAUAAGAGGUGUUUUUUCCCUUUAUCCGGGCUUAAAGAUGUCUGCCUUUUGCUUGUUUUUUUUUUUUAUAAAUCUGGUGAAUUUGAUGCAUUUUGGAAUUUGUGGUUAUGUGGUGGAGUCUGCAUUUUUGGUUUUGGAAAUUGCCCAUCUUGCUGGUUGUUUGGUUCUCGAUAUGAUUCGAAGCAUUCUACUACUGAAGUAAUCGAGCCAAUAUUUUUUAUAAAAUAAGAUAACCGGGGAUGAGCGUUUGUUCUAGAUUUUAUACCAAUGCACCGUGUAAGUGUAAAUACAGGAGGCUGAGCUUCGUAUGGCUUGAGGGACUUGCAGGGUGUGCAUUUUGUUUUUUAAGAUAUCAAUGGUUUGCAAGAUUUCUUUUAGCAUUGUGAAAUUCUUGCUUUUGUUGAUCGUUGCUGGUAUAUUAUUGGGUUGAAGAUGGGAUAUAUUACAUCUGCAGCUUAGUUACACCCUAGAAUCAACUCUAACAAGAUUCACUAGUGUUUCACAUCCUAUUUGUGUUGAUAACGUCUCAGGGAAAGGCAUGCCAAUGAUCCUGCUAUAUAUCAUGUCUGAAAAAGUGGAACCAUGCCAUAAUGAUUGGAUUGAAACUGAAAUUGAUAGGAACAUUGCACACAACAAUAGAAGUUCACGAAAAGGAUAUAUCUCUGAUGUUCCAUAAUUUAUAAAGUUUGAAAAUUAGUAUUUUUAUGUAUAUCAUCUCAUGACUUAGGAGAGCUCCUUUGGUCUUGAAAAUCUAUUCUGUGAUUGUUUGGACAGGCUUGAGGAUGCGUCUUUAAUGAUAACUCUCAACAAUAAAUAUUUUCAUUCUUAAGAAACAGAAUGAUUGUCAGUGGGUAUGACUAGUUAGGUUAUUGUGAUUCUGUCUGCUUUGGAACAAACUGUUGAAGAACUGGUUUGGACCAGUUGCUUCAUUCUCCAAGCUUACUGACUGACUCUUACUUCAUGCUCUCCGGACACUUUGUGGCCAAAUAUUCCAAGCACAUGAAUCUAGGCCACGUGAUUUACACUUCUGUAUUUGCUUUGAUCUCAUUUUUUAGUUUGUUUUGUUUUGAAGCAUCGAAGAUUGAUUUGAAGCUACAUAACCUAUUACAUCUUCCUAGGAUCUCCAAUCUUUGUUUACAACCAAAACUGGAAUUUUUGGCAUGUUUCCAUCAUGUUGCUGCUCCACCCACUAUAGUCACGUGAAUAUUUGUGGUCAGUUAACACAAUUUUCUUUUUCAUUGAACAUCAGCUUAUGCCUCCCAAGCUUAAUGCAUGCAUUUAUCUUCUCUUCUCUUCUCUUCUUGUAGCUUAUAAUUGCACUGCUGGGAACCUACAAAAAAUAAUAGACUUUGUUGUACGAAUUUCUUUUUUGCUGUGAGGAAGCCUGCCAUCCUUAGAUCUUAAUUUAUCUCCUUGCCAUUAUUGUGAUCAUUUCUUUGAGUGUGCUUUUCUCCCUUUUAAUCCUAGGUACUCAUGGAGCCCCUUUUCACUCCUCUUCCAUGAUUGUUUUAUUCCAGUUCCUUUUGCACAUAGGGCUCAUUUGGGAACACGGUAGAAACCGUGUUUCCCAAAAAAA
Molecule: long non-coding RNA, 1733 nt
Organism: Populus euphratica (Euphrates poplar)
Lineage: Eukaryota; Viridiplantae; Streptophyta; Magnoliopsida; Malpighiales; Salicaceae
Exons: 2
Source: RefSeq, a predicted model, not a curated record